This 1075-nucleotide long non-coding RNA is filed under the name Salmo trutta (river trout). Its description in RNAcentral is "lncRNA (ENSSTUG00000013777.1)". The record is from RNAcentral. Lineage: Eukaryota; Metazoa; Chordata; Actinopteri; Salmoniformes; Salmonidae.
CCACACACUCACACAAACACGCACGCACACAACCACACACUCACACAACCACACACUCACACAACCACACACGCACACAACCACACACUCACACAACCACACACUCACACAACCACACACUCACACAACCACGCACUCACACAAACACGCACGCACACAACCACACACUCACACAACCACACACUCACACAACCACACACUCACACAACCACACACGCACACAACCACACACUCACACAACCACACACUCCCACAACCACACACUCACACAACCACACAACCACACACUCACACAACCACACACUCACACAACCACACACUCACACAACCACACACGCACACAACCACACACUCACACAACCACACACUCACACAACCACACACUCACACAACCACACACUCACACACUCACACAACCACACACUCACACAACCACACACUCACACAACCACACACUCACACAACCACACACUCACACAACCACGCACGCACACAACCACACACUCACACAACCACACACUCACACAACCACACACUCACACAACCACACACUCACACAACCACACACGCACACAACCACACACUCACACAACCACGCACUCACACAACCACGCACUCACACAACCACGCACUCACACAACCACGCACGCACACAACCACACACUCACACAACCACACACUCACACAACCACACACUCACACAACCACGCACGCACACAACCACACACUCACACAACCACACACUCACACACUCACACAACCACACACUCACACAACCACACACUCACACAAACACACACUCACACAACCACACACUCACACAACCACACACGGAACAACAACAACUGAGAAACUUAAACAACAACAAUGGUUUAUUGGAAAGCUGCUGAUUCAGCCCAACAAUAAGCACACAGACGUCUCCCUUCUCUCUCUGUUUGACCCUUGGGUCACCCAGCCAGACCAAAGAGACAGAGACAGACAGCCACAAAUAACCAAUCACCAGGCAGAGAUUUCUGUCUGAGCCAAUAAGAGGUGUUGGGAGCGGCUGAUAGAGUCUUUAUGAGCAGUGUGUGAG